Molecule: ribosomal RNA, 452 nt
Filed under: uncultured bacterium
Lineage: Bacteria
Description: bacterial SSU rRNA
Rfam family: Bacterial small subunit ribosomal RNA
Source: RNAcentral
AUUGAACGCUGGCGGCAUGGCUAAAACAUGCAAGUCGAACGUGUGUAGCAAUACACAAGUGGCGAAAGGGUCAGUAAUGCGAUCGAAUGUACCCUGAGGUGGGGGAUAGCUAUGGGAAACUGUAGGUAAUACCCCAUGAUCUCCUCGGAGCAAAGGUUUACCGCCUUGGGAGCAGCGAUCGUCCUAUCAGGUAGUUGGCGGGGUAAUGGCCCACCAAGCCGAAGACGGGUAGCGGGUGUGAGAGCACGGCCCGCGACAUCGGAACUGAGACACUGUCCGGACUUCUACGGAAGGCUGCAGUAACGAAUCUUCCGCAAUGGGCGAAAGCCUGACGGAGCAAUGCCGCGUGUGGGAUGAAGCAUCUCUGACGUGUAAACCACUGUCAGGGGUCGGAAACAAUGAUUGACCCCAAAGGAAGUGGCGACUAACUCUGUGCCAGCAGCCGCGGUAAU